UACUAUGGCCAUGCCCCCCUAACAAAAACAAAGCCAGUUUGAUCUUGGAAGCUAAGCAGAGUCGGGCCCAGUUAGUACUUAGAUGGGAGACUACCUAGGAAGACCAGGUGCUUUAGGCA
RNAcentral lists this ribosomal RNA (119 nucleotides) under Pteropus alecto (black flying fox). The record is from RNAcentral. Lineage: Eukaryota; Metazoa; Chordata; Mammalia; Chiroptera; Pteropodidae.